RNAcentral lists this ribosomal RNA (506 nucleotides) under uncultured bacterium. Its description in RNAcentral is "partial 16S ribosomal RNA". It matches the Rfam family "Bacterial small subunit ribosomal RNA", at positions 28 to 507 of the family's 1533-position model. The record is from RNAcentral.
GACGAACGCUGGCGGCGUGCUUAACACAUGCAAGUCGAACGGUGAAGGGACUGGUUUUGCUGGUCCUGGAUGAGUGGCGAACGGGUGAGUAACACGUGAGUAACCUGCCCCCUUCUUCUGGAUAACCGCAUGAAAGUGUGGCUAAUACGGGAUAUUCUGGGUCUGUCGCAUGGUGGGCCUGGGAAAGAUUGCGCCUUUUUUGGUGUUUUUGGUGGGGGAUGGGCUCGCGGCCUAUCAGCUUGUUGGUGGGGUGAUGGCCUACCAGGGCGGUGACGGGUAGCCGGCCUGAGAGGGUGGACGGUCACACUGGGACUGAGACACGGCCCAGACUCCUACGGGAGGCAGCAGUGGGGAAUAUUGCACAAUGGGCGCAAGCCUGAUGCAGCGACGCCGCGUGAGGGAUGGAGGCCUUCGGGUUGUGAACCUCUUUCGCCAGUGAAGCAGGCCUGCCUCUUUUUGUGGGUGGGUUGACGGUAGCUGGAUAAGAAGCGCCGGCUAACUACGUG